UGGGGAAUAUUGCACAAUGGGCGCAAGCCUGAUGCAGCCAUGCCGCGUGUGUGAAGAAGGCCUUCGGGUUGUAAAGCACUUUCAGCGAGGAGGAAGGUGGUGAACUUAAUACGUUCAUCAAUUGACGUUACUCGCAGAAGAAGCACCGGCUAACUCCGUGCCAGCAGCCGCGGUAAUACGGAGGGUGCAAGCGUUAAUCGGAAUUACUGGGCGUAAAGCGCACGCAGGCGGUUUGUUAAGUCAGAUGUGAAAUCCCCGGGCUCAACCUGGGAACUGCAUUUGAAACUGGCAAGCUAGAGUCUCGUAGAGGGGGGUAGAAUUCCAGGUGUAGCGGUGAAAUGCGUAGAGAUCUGGAGGAAUACCGGUGGCGAAGGCGGCCCCCUGGACGAAGACUGACGCUCAGGUGCGAAAGCGUGGGGCAGCAAACAGGAUUAGAUACCCUGGUAGUCCACGCUGUAAACGAUGUCGAUUUGGAGGUUGUGCCCUUGAGGCGUGGCUUCCGGAGCUAACGCGUUAAAUCGACCGCCUGGGGAGUACGG
Molecule: ribosomal RNA, 539 nt
Filed under: uncultured bacterium
Lineage: Bacteria
Description: partial 16S ribosomal RNA
Rfam family: Bacterial small subunit ribosomal RNA
Source: RNAcentral